This 465-nucleotide ribosomal RNA is filed under the name uncultured bacterium. RNAcentral's name for it is "bacterial SSU rRNA". It matches the Rfam family "Bacterial small subunit ribosomal RNA", at positions 338 to 795 of the family's 1533-position model. The record is from RNAcentral.
CCUACGGGGGGCUGCAGUGGGGAAUAUUGCACAAUGGGGGAAACCCUGAUGCAGCCAUGCCGCGUGUGUGAAGAAGGCCUUCGGGUUGUAAAGCACUUUCAGCGAGGAGGAAAGGGUGUAAGUUAAUACCUUACAUCUGUGACGUUACUCGCAGAAGAAGCACCGGCUAACUCCGUGCCAGCAGCCGCGGUAAUACGGAGGGUGCGAGCGUUAAUCGGAAUUACUGGGCGUAAAGCGUGCGCAGGCGGUUUGUUAAGCGAGAUGUGAAAGCCCCGGGCUCAACCUGGGAACCGCAUUUCGAACUGGCAAACUAGAGUCUUGUAGAGGGGGGUAGAAUUCCAGGUGUAGCGGUGAAAUGCGUAGAGAUCUGGAGGAAUACCGGUGGCGAAGGCGGCCCCCUGGACAAAGACUGACGCUCAGGCACGAAAGCGUGGGGAGCAAACAGGAUUAGAUACCCGAGUAGUC